Molecule: long non-coding RNA, 4757 nt
Organism: Bos taurus (domestic cattle)
Lineage: Eukaryota; Metazoa; Chordata; Mammalia; Artiodactyla; Bovidae
Source: Ensembl
GUUUGGGGGCAGGAGGAGAAGGGGACGAGAGAGGAUGAGAUGUCUGGAUGGCAUCACUGACUCGAUGGACGUGAGUCUGUGUGAACUCCGGGAGUUUGUGAUGGACAGGGAGGCCUGGUGUGCUGCUAUUCAUGGAGUCGCAAAGAGUCGGACAUGACUGAGCGACUGAACUGAACUGAAUACAUUUGGGGAGCAAUAAUUUCAAGUCAAAUAACUGUUUCUUUCUACAUAACUGCUGCUGUCAUGAAUAUACAACUGUGUAUCCUGCUUUGUGGGCUUCCCAGGUGGCUCAUUGGUAAAAGAAUCCGCCUGCAAUGCAGGAGACUGGAGUUCAAGCCCUGGGUUGGGAAGAUCCCUGGAGAAGGAAAUGGCAACCCACUCCAGUACUCUUGCCUGGACAAUCCCAUGGACAGAGGAGCCUGGUGGGCUACAGUCCACAGGGUUGCAAAAGAGUCAGACAUGUCUUAGUGACUAAACAACAACAUCCUGCUUUGUAUCCAUGGUGGAAAAUGCCCCCAUAUUAAUGAAACUUUGCUGAAAUAUUAUCUUAAAGUUUAAGGAGAGUGUGACUCCCACACAUCAGAAAGGCCAGGUUCCCUACACAGCCAGUGCUGGAAGCAAGUGGUUGGGCAAACCCCCAUCUUCUUCUAGAUACAGAACAUCCUUGCUCAUCAUCACAGUCCUGAUCCAGGGUGGGGUGGUGCUGAAGAGAGGGGUCUCAUGGCUUCUAAUCCGAUGCUGAUUACUCAUCUUAUUUUUGCCAUAGUUGAAACAUGACAUUGUUUCUGCUCUCUGCCUUUCUUUCCCACUUGAUGAUUGCCAAGAUACUUUCAUCUCUAAAAUGCUCUGUCUCCAGACUUAGUUCCUUAGUACCAUGGAGCACAGGCUUCCCAGGUGGCUGAGCGGUGAGGAAUCCACCUGCAAUGCAGGAGACCCAGGUUCAAUCCCUGGGUCGGAAGAUCCCCUGGAGAAGGGAAUGGCUACCCACUCCAGUGUUCUUGCCUGGAGAAUCCCAUGGACAGAGGAGGCUGGUGGGCUACAGUCCAGAGGGUUGCAAAGAGUCGGACACGACUGAUGCAACUGAGCGCACACGCACACACCAGGGAGCACAGGCUCUUCUCUCCCUGCCCCUCCUUCCCUCUUCCUUCUUCCGUUUUUGUUCUUUCGAUGCCUUUCUAUUGCAUUGCUUGCUCUCUUUCAGACCCUGAUUUAUUUUUCUCACAUCGCAUUUAUAAUCACCCUGUAAAAUAGGCACUCCUAUUAUUAUCCUCAAGUGAUAGACAAGGCAAGCAAAGUCCAGAGGGGCUGAGGGGUAAGUCGGGGAAGCUGAGCACUGCGCUGUCCUCCAGUGACUCUCCUGGAGACCGGCUGCUUGUGGGAGAACCAGCAGUCAGCCUGCCAGGCCAGUCUGCGGGUCACUCACUCACUCAUGGGCUCCCUGGUCACAGUAGGCCGAGGACAUCCCUGUAUUAAGCCUCAGAAGGAAACGUGUUUCAUGGCAGAGGGUAACUCAGGUCGCAGGUGAAAGUGCUUCCUAAUCAGAGGUCCGUAGCGGAGGCGAUUCCCUGUGAGUCAGGUGGACCCAGUAGAAUCUUUAAGAGAGGAAGCGGGAGGCGAGGAGGAGUUAGUGUCUAGGGUCUACAGCUGGCGUCAGCCUUGCAGGAUAGCGGGGUCAAGAGUCCCAGGGUGCAGGCAGCCUCCAGAAGCUGGAAAAUGUCCAGGGAUGACGGAUUCUCCUCUGGAGGGUCCAGGAAGAAGUCCAGCCCUGCCGACCACCUGACCUUAGGCCCGUGAGCCUCUCCUCGAUUUCUGACCUCCAGAACGGAAACGUGUGGAACGCACUCUCCCGAGAAGUGUCCUGAAACAGACGGAGCCACGGACGCCUCUAGAUGUUUUCUUGGAUGUCACGUCCCUUGAAGCUGGUUUUGAAGAAAGACUGAUUGUUAAUGCUGCUGCUGGUUUAUCAGAGCUGAUGGAGCUGAGAUGACCCCAGCACAGACCUUCAGAUGUCUCAGGUGUUUGCCAUGGAUCACGUUGGGAUUCCAGAAGCAUUCAGAAAGUGCAGACCUUCACCUUUUUACACACCACGCCAAAGCAGUUCUUCCAAUUUUCCAAUCAGCUCUGCAUUCUUCAGGUCCCUGCUGUUGGAAAUUCUCACAGGUCCUGAGGUACCACAAAGGCACUGAAAUCCUCCGGAUAAUCGCUUCAGGGAGGGCAAUUACAGCUCCCAGUUCUCAUUUCCACAUUUCCACCAGCCACAGGCUUAUGUUCAGGUGAAAUUGCUUUAAACUGGAGUAGCCUCUGGCCAUAUGACGACCAUGCGGUCCAGGUGUGGAGUCUCGGGCACCCUCAGCUCCACUUGUGUGCCUGUUUCCCUUGGCCAGCCCCGCGGCAGUUUCCUCUCAGCUUCUUACAUCAUGCCGAUCGUCCAGUGUUGGCGGGAACGUUGCUUGUAGCCAUCACCUCUUUGAGCAUCUCCAUUGCCCGUGAUCUUCAGAACCUUGCCACUGCCAUCACAUUCCAAGAUGGUACCUCUGGUCUACCUGGAAGACCCUUUCCUCUCCUCUAGAACUGCCGGCACCCCAAGAUCCCAGAGAUCUGUGUGUCCUGGGCCACCUUCUUAGUUCUCGAAGUCUUAACCUCGGGCCUGGUGUCCUUCCAGCAGGAAUGCGGAGCCAUCGCCCAAUGGCAUAUCUACAGUGACUGUGCGUUUUUUAUACAUAAUUUUACUUACUGGCUUAUUGUUUGGCUGUGCUGGAUCUUCACUGGCACACGGGCUUUUCUCUAGUCGUGGAGAGUGGGGGCUACUCUCCAGCUGCCAGGCACAGGCUUCUCCUCGCAGCGCUUCUCUUGCUGUGGAGCAGGGGUUCGGGGGCCUGGGCUUUAGUAGCUGUGGCAUGUGGCCUCAGUAUUUGUGGUUCCUGGGCCCCAGAACUCGGGCUCAGUAUUUGUAGCACAUGGGCUCAGCUGCUCCAUGACAUGUGGGAUCUUCCCGGACCAAGGAUCGAACCCACGUCUCCUGAAGUGGCAGGUGCAUUCUUCACCACUGAGCCACCGGGGAAUCCCUAUGAUGACUAUUCUUCUUAUCCGUGUUAUAGUUCACUCAGGGACUGUGUUAAUACUUGCAUAGAUUAUUUGGUGAUUUCUCGCAAUAACCCCAUCCAUGUCUACUAUGAUCCUCUUUUCCAAGUGAGCGGUGAAAAGGCUGGGAAGGUUUGAGUCAAUCGCUCCAGGGCUACUGUAUGGCAGAGAAGAAUUCAAACCCAGGUCCAGAUCUUGGGCUCCGGACCUCUCUGUUCUAUUGUCCCACCUAAAGAUCCGUGUCAAGGCUCCAGCUUUCUUACAUCAUGCACAAACAUUCAGCAUCCCCCAGGGCCGUUAAAGGCUGGUCAACUCCUUUAGCCUCCGUACUGCAGACCUUGGGGUUCUCAGCACCAUGGGGAGAGCAAGUGAGCAAUCACCUCUCGCCCUCUGGGGCCACACUAUCACUCCUUUGCAAAGAAAAAGAAGUUCGAGUCCUGGAAACAAAAUGGGACCCUCUGAUUUGGAGUCAUAGACUCACUUUCAGGGUGAUAAUCUGUCAGGGUCAAGAGCAAGAAGAAAAGGGAAAAUCAGAGGAAUUAGCAAAUUAGUGUUUUAGGUCUAACUGGAGGUGAGCCAUCAUUUGUGAAUUAAGUUGACAUCACUUAGAUGACUUUACAGGCACGCAGCUCGAUAGUAGACGUUGCCAGUGUUUAUUUGCACAGAUGCAAUGGAGAAAAACAUUUCCGUGGGGUCAUGUUAGCCCAGCUGAUGGACUGAUAAGGGGAGCCGCACCAUCUGUUGACCGCCAAGCCUCGAAGUCCUUUUGGGAUCACCGUCAACCACACUUAGGAUAAUAUGAGAGGAAAUGGAUCAUUUUGGUUUCUCCCUCAUUCAAGCUUUAAUUUAUAUUUUAAACCAAAUAUGGGCCCUGUUCACCACUGGAGCCUCCCUGUAUGUCCCUGUACCUUGCAGACUGUGCUUACUUCCAGGAACACUUGCUGGUUUGAGUUGUUUAUGUCUCCUGAGAGGCUGGGCUUACAUCACAGUCUGUGAUCUCUCAUCUGAUGAAGCAGGCUCCUUGAGGUUCUUUCUGCAAUUGAGCAAAGAGGAAGUAUUAGCAACUGUGUAACAGAGAUGCUGAGAAGCAAUUAGCCCAGAUGCUAAUUUCAUCAGAAAUAGACAUCAAAGCCCUCAUUCCCACCUUCUUUGAAAAUGAGGAAGGGAAUUAUGCAGUGGCUAAGGAAUCCAUGCGAUUGUCCUUGUGCGUAAGCUCCGGUGCCUGUAUCUGUGGGGUGGGCAAGGCAGAGAGGGGUCGGUUCUGGGUUAUCAUGGGAUGCCUCCCCCUGAGCCGACCAAGGAGGGAUUAUAUUGCAGUGGGACCUGGAUUCUCAUCCUUCUUAUUCCUGGAUAUGUGAUGUUAGCCAGUCUCCUGUGCUCUCUGAGUCUCAGCUGGUAUUUGUAAAAUUGGGUCGACAUUACAUGACUGCUCCAAACGUGCCAGUUCCUGCCUGCCUUUGAACACGGGCCUGACAAGGGAACACCGUGCUAGCACUCAGGGACCACAGUGUCACCUAGAGGGACUGAUGGGCAAGAAAAUCUAGUAGAGAGAUGAUUUCGGUGUACCUUAACAGUGUACCUGGGAGGGAGAGAAAGUGGGCUUGUAAGUCUGAAGGAAGAAGUAGAAGAAAGCGAUAAAAAGUGCUUUAUAAACCUUCUCUACAUCUGAAUAAACU